Molecule: ribosomal RNA, 238 nt
Filed under: uncultured bacterium
Lineage: Bacteria
Description: partial 16S ribosomal RNA
Rfam family: Bacterial small subunit ribosomal RNA
Source: RNAcentral
GAUCAUGGCUCAGGAUGAACGCUAGCUACAGGCCUAACACAUGCAAGUCGAGGGGAAACGGCAGCUUAGCUUGCUAAGCUGGACGUCGACCGGCGCACGGGUGAGUAACGCGUAUCCAACCUGCCCCACGGUGAGGGAUAACCCGCGGAAACGCGGCCUAAUACCUCAUGGCCUCCGAGCUUGACAUCAAUCUUGGAGUAAAGAUUCAUUGCCGUGGGAUGGGGAUGCGUCUGAUUAG